AACCGGCGCUUGACGUUUUUCUCUUCGCCCACACUCAGUUCAUCUUCACUCUUCACAGUAGCGAGUCAGAAAGUAUAGUCUGAACGCCUGCGGCAGGUUACCUGAAAUUAUAUAAAAACUCGCUGACAGCUAGCCCUUCUGAAAGAGCGUGUGGUCUAUGAUAAGGAUGUAUGGUAUAUUAUGAUUCAGAGAGGAGCUAACUCAGUCACAAAUUAGGUAUAGAAUCUAACAGCGAUUUCAUCAGGUCCUGGAGCUUUGUUCAAUUUUAAUGAUUGCAGCAGUGUUUUUCCAGCAUCACUGAUACUAGUGUGAAAAAAUGCCCAAUGAUGCAUUUGGUUAAAUGCAUUAUGCUUCUUAUCUUGCUGGCAUAUGCAGCUUGUGAACAUCAUGCUGAAAACCUGGAGCGUGAAAGUAACACUCAAGCUCAGCCACGUCUGGGCCACCGCAUUCAACUCCUCUUCCCACUGCUAAUUGCUGUCGCAGCACGUUUAGGUGCCCUGCUACCAAUGGCUGGCAGCAUCCUCACAGGUGUUGCACUUAUG
RNAcentral lists this unclassified non-coding RNA (542 nucleotides) under Schistocerca americana (American grasshopper). Its description in RNAcentral is "uncharacterized LOC124607259, transcript variant X2". Lineage: Eukaryota; Metazoa; Arthropoda; Insecta; Orthoptera; Acrididae. The record is from RNAcentral.